This 619-nucleotide ribosomal RNA is filed under the name uncultured bacterium. RNAcentral's name for it is "bacterial SSU rRNA". The stretch from base 1 to 541 matches the Rfam family "Bacterial small subunit ribosomal RNA", at positions 338 to 873 of the family's 1533-position model. The record is from RNAcentral.
CCUACGGGGGCAGCAGUGGGGAAUAUUGGACAAUGGGCGAAGGCCUGAUCCAGCAAUUCCGCGUGUGUGAAGAAGGCCUUCGGGUUGUAAAGCACUUUAGGUUGGGAAGAAAAAGCUUCGGUGAAUAUCCGGAGUGUUGACGGUACCAACAGAAUAAGCACCGGCUAACUCUGUGCCAGCAGCCGCGGUAAUACAGAGGGUGCAAGCGUUAAUCGGAUUUACUGGGCGUAAAGCGUGCGCAGGUGGUUUCGUAAGUCGGAUGUGAAAGCCCCGGGCUCAACCUGGGAACUGCGUUCGAUACUGCGAGACUAGAGUUUGGUAGAGGGUGGCGGAAUUCCCGGUGUAGCGGUGAAAUGCGUAGAUAUCGGGAGGAACAUCAAUGGCGAAGGCAGCCACCUGGGCCUGAACUGACACUGAGGCACGAAAGCGUGGGUAGCAAACAGGAUUAGAUACCCUGGUAGUCCACGCCGUAAGCGAUGAGAACUUGACGUUGGUUCGUUUUACGAAUCGGUGUCGUAGCUAACGCGAUAAGUUCUCCGCCUGGGGGNGGUACGGCGCGAGUAGAACACGAAGAAGUAGACGGCGUGAGACGUGCCGACGGACGACGACGAGGGAGAGG